GACGAACGCUGGCGGUGUGCUUAACACAUGCAAGUCGAACGGUAAGGCCCUUUCGGGGGUACACGAGUGGCGAACGGGUGAGUAACACGUGAGUAACCUGCCCUCAUCUCUGGGAUAACAGUCGGAAACGGUUGCUAAUACUGGAUAUGAGCUUGCAAGGCAUCUUGUGGGUUGGAAAGAUUUUUUUUGGUUGGGGAUGGACUCGCGGCCUAUCAGCUUGUUGGUGAGGUAGUGGCUCACCAAGGCUUCGACGGGUAGCCGGCCUGAGAGGGCGACCGGCCACAUUGGGACUGAGCGACGGCCCAAACUCCUACGGGAGGCAGCAGUGGGGAAUAUUGCACAAUGGACGGAAGUCUGAUGCAGCAACGCCGCGGGCGGGAUGACGGCCUUCGGGUUGUAAACCGCUUUCAAUUGUGACGAAGCUUUUUUGUGACGGUAGCAGUAGAAGAAGCACCGGCUAACUACGUG
This 468-nucleotide ribosomal RNA is filed under the name uncultured bacterium. RNAcentral describes it as "partial 16S ribosomal RNA". It matches the Rfam family "Bacterial small subunit ribosomal RNA", at positions 28 to 507 of the family's 1533-position model. The record is from RNAcentral.